RNAcentral lists this ribosomal RNA (480 nucleotides) under Pseudomonas sp. RNAcentral's name for it is "bacterial SSU rRNA". It matches the Rfam family "Bacterial small subunit ribosomal RNA", at positions 52 to 528 of the family's 1533-position model. The record is from RNAcentral. Lineage: Bacteria; Pseudomonadati; Pseudomonadota; Gammaproteobacteria; Pseudomonadales; Pseudomonadaceae.
CACAUGCAGUCGAGCGGUAGAGAGAAGCUUGCUUCUCUUGAGAGCGGCGGACGGGUGAGUAAUGCCUAGGAAUCUGCCUGGUAGUGGGGGAUAACGCUCGGAAACGGACGCUAAUACCGCAUACGUCCUACGGGAGAAAGCAGGGGACCUUCGGGCCUUGCGCUAUCAGAUGAGCCUAGGUCGGAUUAGCUAGUUGGUGAGGUAAUGGCUCACCAAGGCGACGAUCCGUAACUGGUCUGAGAGGAUGAUCAGUCACACUGGAACUGAGACACGGUCCAGACUCCUACGGGAGGCAGCAGUGGGGAAUAUUGGACAAUGGGCGAAAGCCUGAUCCAGCCAUGCCGCGUGUGUGAAGAAGGUCUUCGGAUUGUAAAGCACUUUAAGUUGGGAGGAAGGGUUGUAACCUAAUACGUUGCAAUCUUGACGUUACCGACAGAAUAAGCACCGGCUAACUCUGUGCCAGCAGCCGCGGUAAUACAG